This 148-nucleotide small RNA is filed under the name Macaca fascicularis (crab-eating macaque). Its description in RNAcentral is "Metazoan signal recognition particle RNA (ENSMFAG00000056408.1)". Lineage: Eukaryota; Metazoa; Chordata; Mammalia; Primates; Cercopithecidae. The record is from Rfam by way of RNAcentral.
GCCAGGCAUGGUGGCAUGUGCCUGUAGUCCCAGCUAUUCAGGAGGCUGAGGCAGGAAGAUCACUUGAGCCCGGGAGGUCGAGGCUGCAGUGAGCUGAGAUUGCACCACUGCACUUUAGCCUGGGCAAUAGAGUGAGACCCUGUCUCAA